UACGUAGGGUCCGAGCGUUGUCCGGAAUUAUUGGGCGUAAAGAGCUCGUAGGCGGUUUGUCGCGUCUGCUGUGAAAUCUAGAGGCUCAACCUCUAGCCUGCAGUGGGUACGGGCAGACUUGAGUGGUGUAGGGGGAGACUGGAAUUCCUGGUGUAGCGGUGGAAUGCGCAGAUAUCAGGAGGAACACCGAUGGCGAAGGCAGGUCUCUGGGCACUUACUGACGCUGAGGAGCGAAAGCGUGGGGAGCGAACAGG
This 254-nucleotide ribosomal RNA is filed under the name uncultured bacterium. RNAcentral describes it as "partial 16S ribosomal RNA". It matches the Rfam family "Bacterial small subunit ribosomal RNA", at positions 524 to 776 of the family's 1533-position model. The record is from RNAcentral.